GCCCUGGUUGCACAAUUGGUUAGUGCGUUGGACUUUUACGACAGCCUCUCCGGCUACUUAACAGGAUAUCCAAAGGUUGCGGGUUCGAGUCCCGCCUGGGGCG
Molecule: transfer RNA, 103 nt
Filed under: Ceratocystis platani
Lineage: Eukaryota; Fungi; Ascomycota; Sordariomycetes; Microascales; Ceratocystidaceae
Rfam family: tRNA
About the family: Transfer RNA (tRNA) molecules are approximately 80 nucleotides in length. Their secondary structure includes four short double-helical elements and three loops (D, anti-codon, and T loops).
Source: Rfam by way of RNAcentral